RNAcentral lists this ribosomal RNA (583 nucleotides) under Limnospira maxima EP30. Its description in RNAcentral is "bacterial SSU rRNA". It matches the Rfam family "Bacterial small subunit ribosomal RNA", at positions 157 to 774 of the family's 1533-position model. The record is from RNAcentral. RNAcentral also lists the same sequence under 1 other name. Lineage: Bacteria; Bacillati; Cyanobacteriota; Cyanophyceae; Oscillatoriales; Sirenicapillariaceae.
GAACUGCUAAUCCCGGAAUGAGCCGAAAGGUAAAAGAUUUUUCGCCGGGAGAUGAGCUCGCGUCUGAUUAGCUAGUUNGUGAGGUAAAGGCUCACCAAGGUCAACGAUCAGUAGCUGGUCUGAGAGGAUGAUCAGCCACACUGGGACUGAGACACGGCCCAAACUCCUACGGGAGGCAGCAGGGGGGAAUUUUCCGCAAUGGGCCCAAGCCUGACGGAUCAAGACCGCGUGGGGGAGGAAGGCUCUUGGGUUGUAAACCUCUUUUCUCAAGGAAGAACACAAUGACGGUGCUUGAGGAAUAAGCCUCGGCUAACUCCGUGCCAGCACCCGCGGUCUUACGGACGAGGCCAGCGUUAUCCCGAAUGAUUGGGCCUCAAGCGUCCGUAUGUCCCAGUUCAAGUCUGGUGUCAAAUACAGUACCUCAACUACUGAAAGGCAGUGGAAACUGACCCUCUAAACUACGGUAGGGGCACAGGGAAUUCCCGGUGUACCGGUCAAAUGCGUAUAUUUCGGGAAGAACACCUGUCCGAAACGCUCUGUUGGGGCGUAACUUACACUGAGGGAAGAAAAAUUUGGACUUACG